Molecule: long non-coding RNA, 464 nt
Organism: Drosophila sechellia
Lineage: Eukaryota; Metazoa; Arthropoda; Insecta; Diptera; Drosophilidae
Exons: 3
Source: RefSeq, a predicted model, not a curated record
CAGCUGGCGAGAAAACACCGAAAGUCAGAGCUGAUAGGACAAACCGGAGGCGCUAUAACCGUAGCUGAAGUCUGUUGCACUAGUCAAACCUAAGCCGGAAAUUCACUUUUUCUGUACAUAAAGCCUUUUUCCUCUGUGCACGGAAACAUAGAGCAUUCACUUGCCUGCAAUUGUAUUUACUGCUGGAGAAAACGAAAACAAUUGCCGCAAAUAUGGCAAAUGGCAAUUGAAAAACAAAAGUCCCUUGCGAAACGAGACCAGAAAUCCGUUCGCCUGCUGCUUUCACACUUUCCAGCCACGCAGGACAAAAGGCCAAAAAACGGCAGCAGGGACGUGAGUGCUGGAAAAAAAAGCCAAGGAUGCAGCUGCACACAAAAAAUGUGGAAAAAUGCACAAAAUUGGCUGUGAAAUGAACGAGAUGAGGCGGCGUGGCGUCUAUUGUUGCUAUCUGAGGGAAAAGUAAG